GACGAACGCUGGCGGCGUGCUUAACACAUGCAAGUCGAACGGAAAGACCCUGCGUUUGUGGGGUGCUCGAGUGGCGAACGGGUGAGUAACACGUGAGUAACCUGCCCUUGACUUUGGGAUAACUUCAGGGAACUGGGGCUAAUACCGGAUAGGAGCUCCUGCUGCGUGGGGGGGGUUGGAAAGUUUCGGCGGUUGGGGAUGGACUCGCGGCUUAUCAGCUUGUUGGUGGGGUAGUGGCUUACCAAGGCUUUGCAGGGUAGACGGCAUGAGAGGGUGACCGGCGUCAUUGGGACUGCGAUACGGCGCAGACGCCUACGGGAGGCAGCAGUGGGGAAUAUUGCACAAUGGGCGGAAGUCUGAUGUAGCAAUGCCGCGUGCGGGAUGACGGCCUUCGGGUUGUAAACCGCUUUCGCAUGUGACGAAGCGUGAGUGACGGUAAUGGGUAAAGAAGCACCGGCUAACUACGUG
Molecule: ribosomal RNA, 468 nt
Filed under: uncultured bacterium
Lineage: Bacteria
Description: partial 16S ribosomal RNA
Rfam family: Bacterial small subunit ribosomal RNA
Source: RNAcentral